This 440-nucleotide ribosomal RNA is filed under the name uncultured bacterium. Its description in RNAcentral is "bacterial SSU rRNA". It matches the Rfam family "Bacterial small subunit ribosomal RNA", at positions 339 to 796 of the family's 1533-position model. The record is from RNAcentral.
CUACGGGAGGCAGCAGUCGGGAAUUUUGGGCAAUGGGCGAAAGCCUGACCCAGCAACGCCGCGUGAAGGAUGAAGUAUUUCGGUAUGUAAACUUCGAGAGAAUGGGAAGAAUAAAUGACGGUACCAUUUAUAAGCUCCGGCUAACUACGUGCCAGCAGCCGCGGUAAUACGUAGGGAGCAAGCGUUGUUCGGAUUUACUGGGCGUAAAGGGCGCGUAGGCGGCGUGUUAAGUCAGCUGUGGAAUCUCUGAGCUCAACUCAGAACGGCCAGCUGAUACUGAUGUGCUAGAGUGCAGAAGGGGCAACCGGAAUUCUUGGUGUAGCGGUGAAAUGCGUAGAUAUCAAGAGGAACACCUGAGGCGAAGGCGGGUUGCUGGGCUGACACUGACGCUGAGGCGCGAAAGCCAGGGGAGCAAACGGGAUUAGAAACCCGGGUAGUCC